CAUCAUCUUUCUUUACAAAUUAUCCAGUUCCAUUUGUUUGGGGCGUUUUCUUCCUUAACUCCCAUGGAAAAAUAAAUACAUCAUUUUUUUUUUGAACUGUGGGUGGAAUGAACUCUUUAGAAAUUGAUAUGGGCAUCCUCUUGGCUAGAUUCCUGCCACUCAACCAAGUAAAGGAACUCACGCGGCUGCAGGACUAAGCUCCUCCCACGUCUGCCGCUGUGGUUGGAUGUGCAGGCUGAGAGCGUCGUCUUGGAUCCUAGCACCGUGCCUAGUACACAGUAGGUGUUCAGCACAUGCCUGCUAGACUGACAUGUCAGAUAGUGUUUCAGUUUACCCAAUAGUCAUGAGUGUCAGAAUAGCUGGCUGUCGGCUGGAGCUCGGAGUACAUUCCAGGGUAAGUAUUAAUGUUUCAGCGCUGCUGCGUGCAAAUCAUACUGUUCUGUAUUCCCUCUUCCCACCACAAAAUGUGUUUAUGUGGAUUAAAUAGGGUUAUUAGGGGUAGCAGGGAUAAUCAAACCCAAGUUCUACCAUACAGUCACUUUUGCCCGGUGAGCUUAAUUUAGACACAUAGAGGUCAAAUUACAAAUGGCUGAGCUCACAGAAGCUUCAGUUUCUGGUUCUAGCCACAGGGGGAGAAAGCAGAGCUGGAGAUAUUCCCAGUUUCUAGGUUCUCAUACAAAAACCAACUGGCUGCCACAGCACAGUCACCGAAGAGGGAAGAAGACAAGGAGAGGUAAUGUGCAGAGGAAAAUGUAUGGCUGACACCCUGAAGAAUCGACAGAGGGCUUGCUGGUUACCAAGCAACGUGCUACCUAAGCUUUGCCUCUGCGUAAUUCUGCCAAUACUUCUUGCAGUUGAUGAGCUUAAGUGUAGCCCUGUGAGCUUGUGAGUGCGUGUAUGUGUGUGUGUGUGUGCAUGUGUGUGUGUUUUGGGGAGCAGAGACACUACAGGCACAGAGUAGCUCAUUCAGACUGCUUUUUAUAGGCAUUAAGCAAUAAGCUCCCAUAAUAAACAGCCAUGCCACAGUUAAUACUCAAUAAACAGUAUGGUUUAUAAGCAAUUAGGGACCCAAAUCUCAAAAUAAGACAGUUCAGCAGAAUGAGAGCAUCCACUCUAACAAGGCUCAGUAAGAUAUGUGGCUUGUUAAAAGUGUCAUAAUUCUCCUUUAGAAAGCAAUUAACAGUUUGGUAUAUUUUGGUCUGCCAAAUACGGAGUUUCUUAAUCAAAUGUGAACACAAUCAAAGAGCCGCUUCUCAGCUUUACAUAAUGGACAGUCAAGUACGCAGAAAGCACAGCUGAAAUUAAAGGAUGAAUUGAUGUUCGCUCCUGUUUGU
This 1334-nucleotide long non-coding RNA is filed under the name Pan paniscus (pygmy chimpanzee). RNAcentral describes it as "lncRNA (ENSPPAG00000044591.1)". The record is from RNAcentral. Lineage: Eukaryota; Metazoa; Chordata; Mammalia; Primates; Hominidae.